Molecule: small RNA, 83 nt
Filed under: Marmota monax (woodchuck)
Lineage: Eukaryota; Metazoa; Chordata; Mammalia; Rodentia; Sciuridae
Source: RNAcentral
GCUGGGUGUGGUGGUGCACACCUGUAAUCCCAGCAACUUCAGAGGCUGAGGCUGGAGGAUCAAAACUUUGAGGCCAGCCUCAG